This 274-nucleotide ribosomal RNA is filed under the name uncultured bacterium. RNAcentral's name for it is "partial 16S ribosomal RNA". It matches the Rfam family "Bacterial small subunit ribosomal RNA", at positions 523 to 796 of the family's 1533-position model. The record is from RNAcentral.
AUACGGAGGGGGCUAGCGUUGUUCGGAAUUACCGGGCGUAAAGCGCGCGUAGGCGGGCUGGUCAGUCAGGGGUGAAAUCCCGGGGCUCAACCCCGGAACUGCCUUUGAUACUGCCAGUCUAGAGGUCGAGAGAGGUGAGUGGAAUUCCGAGUGUAGAGGUGAAAUUCGUAGAUAUUCGGAGGAACACCAGUGGCGAAGGCGGCUCACUGGCUCGAUUCUGACGCUGAGGUGCGAAAGCGUGGGGAGCAAACAGGAUUAGAAACCCUAGUAGUCC